This 293-nucleotide ribosomal RNA is filed under the name Sphingomonas sanxanigenens. RNAcentral describes it as "partial 16S ribosomal RNA". It matches the Rfam family "Bacterial small subunit ribosomal RNA", at positions 1 to 321 of the family's 1533-position model. The record is from RNAcentral. Lineage: Bacteria; Pseudomonadati; Pseudomonadota; Alphaproteobacteria; Sphingomonadales; Sphingomonadaceae.
CAAACUUGAGAGUUUGAUCCUGGCUCAGAACGAACGCUGGCGGCAUGCCUAACACAUGCAAGUCGAACGAGACCUUCGGGUCUAGUGGCGCACGGGUGCGUAACGCGUGGGAAUCUGCCCUUGGGUUCGGAAUAACAGUUAGAAAUGACUGCUAAUACCGGAUGAUGACGUAAGUCCAAAGAUUUAUCGCCCAAGGAUGAGCCCGCGUAGGAUUAGCUUGUUGGUGAGGUAAAGGCUCACCAAGGCGACGAUCCUUAGCUGGUCUGAGAGGAUGAUCAGCCACACUGGGACUG